RNAcentral lists this ribosomal RNA (161 nucleotides) under Hofstenia miamia. RNAcentral's name for it is "eukaryotic small subunit ribosomal RNA". It matches the Rfam family "Eukaryotic small subunit ribosomal RNA", at positions 1491 to 1653 of the family's 1831-position model. Lineage: Eukaryota; Metazoa; Xenacoelomorpha; Acoela; Hofsteniidae. The record is from RNAcentral.
AUUCUGAGUUCAAUCGUGCUUGCAAAUUGUGGAUAACCUUGAGUGUUAUGCUCUGGGUAAUCAUUAAUGUGCAUCAUGUUUGGGCUAGUAUAUUGUAAUGAUAUACUUAAACGAGGAAUUCCUAGUAAGCGCAAGUCACCAGCUUGUGUUGAUUACGUCCC